UUAGUAACUGGAAUCCAAACCUACCCUGUCUGACUCCACUCUUGUGGCCUUUCCCUCCCCUCUUCCUAUCUCCUCCAGGAAAAGGUCACCUCUGCAGGCUCCUUGACUGGCUGUCCCACCUCUGCUUGCAUGCCACUGUAACUGGGAACUCAUUUCCUCAUAGCACAACCCUUUCUCCUCUACCUGGGAGAGCUUUUGUCACCCAGAGCUGAUCCACCCCUCUCUUCCUGGUUCUGCCAGACUCUAUACCCUCUAUCUUACCAGAGCCUAGAGACAGAAUCUUCUCUGCCCAGGUUAGAAAACCCCUAUCUUCACUGCUCCUGUGUGUAAUAGGAUUUCCCAGGUGAAACUUAUGAUAAUCAUGUUUUUUUUAACCCCAACAGACCUAAUUGUCUAGCUAUUGUGUGGGAACCCUAAAGGAAGCCAUGGCAUGGGGAGUGGCUCAAAGUGGAGGCUCCUAAGGCUUGGUGUCUCUAGGAGGAAUAUUAAAAAUCACCCUGUUAACCAGUUCAUUCCAUUCUCAUCUGGCCAGCUCAGAUUGGGAGUCCUUUCCAGUAACAUCUCCACAAGGCACUGCUUGUGGAGAUUUGGAAACACUACUGGUCCAUUGGAUAGAGGAAGCACGCUCCCCAUUGGAUUCUUCUUUAUAAUUGGAUGGAGGGCUCUAAUACAGAGAAACUGGAUGCUCUGCUAAUCUAGAGAUGGAGUCUCACUGUGUAACCCAGGCUGCAUGUGCAAGAUUUGGAGUGGACAUCUGUCUUCAGCUCUCUCGGGUAUAUGUCUGGGAGUGGACUUCCUGGGUCAUAGGGUAACUCCAUGUUUAACUUUUUG
Molecule: long non-coding RNA, 831 nt
Organism: Homo sapiens (human)
Lineage: Eukaryota; Metazoa; Chordata; Mammalia; Primates; Hominidae
Exons: 3
Source: RefSeq, a predicted model, not a curated record